AUGUCCUUUAUUGUAACGACCCCUUUGUGACAAGCGCUUAGCCGACUCACUAUCAUCACAGCUAUUAGGAAAGACCUGGAGUAACGUGUCUUUCACAGCAGUCUAUUGUGUGAACAUUUUGAAACGUACUUGCUAAAUUCCGACAACAAUAAAUGGUAUCACGUCAGUAAACGAGCUCUUUGGCAGGGCGACAUAUUGACUAGUUUCAGCAAGUAUUGAUCGCUCCGUUAGGAGUCCGCUGAAUCCUCUGAGGCAUCAAAGACGACAGAUUGCCUCUGUAGUCAUCAUAUGACACAGAUGACAGCGAGCAGCAGGAUGGGGAGGAGUGAAACUUUAUCUGUGCUUGUGGUGUUGGCAUAUCAUGUAGCAGCUGACCUGCCAUACAACGACUGUGGUGAGCCCCCGCCGAGUGCCAAUACUUACAGGACAUUCCCUGACAACAAUACAGUGGAGUAUCGGUGUAUAGACACCUACAUUCUAUCAUCAGGCGACCUUGUCCGAAAUUGCAUCAAUGGAACAUACACUGGGACCUCUCCAAUAUGUACACUGGACUGUGGUCCUCCCCUGAAUACAAGCUACGCCAGUAUCAACUCUACAGGAAGUAAAGAAGGGGACACGGUGACGUACACAUGCCCCGACGGUUUCCUUGUAUCCUCGACAAACACUGAAUGCAGUGGUCAAAACGGGUACUGGCUAGCUGGAGACAGAUGCUUUGCCAAUGCCAGUCUGGACGUUGCAGUCUUCACUGCGGUACAGACGUCCACCGCGACUUUGGAUGACAUCCGUAACACUACAGCUACACUUCUCGCACUGUCAUCCACCUCUACAUUUCAUCCUGCUAACGCCGUGGACCCAACAAAGCUGGGAGUGAGUCUUCUCAACGGCGACUGUAGCAGCACUGCACUCGAGCAACGUCCCCAUAUGAACGUCACUCUUGGCGACCACUAUGACGUCUAUCAAGUAGCCGUGACACUACCGGAUGAUGACUUUGCUUUCUCACUACCCAACCUAAACGUGCGACUCACAAACAAUCCCAGCCACAGGUUGUACAGCUGUAUGCAACACAUGACAUCUAUACCCGCGGGGUCCAGGUUCGUGGCUACCUGUACAGGUAAACGGUACCCAGCGUUCGGCAGACAUCUACAACUUGAGGUGGACUUUGGCGACCAACUUGGCAUGUUACAAAUCUGUCAGAUUGAGGUGUAUGCCCGACCUAUAACAUCAGUUGACUGUGGUCAACCACCUGAACGUCCGUUCGCAGUGAUGACAAGCCCACCGUCAACAACUCACUACAAGAGCCCUGUAGAGUGGGUAACUUACGACUGCGUAGAGGGUUACACGGUCAAGAGUGGUCGGGAAAAAGGUUACUGUAACGUCAAUGGCUACUGGACUGUGUCCAUCGUCUGCACAGCGGAUGAGAAUCUGUCACACGGGAAACCUGUUUCUCUGUCUGGCAACGACAUCAUGGACGUCUCCCCACUGACGGACGGUAACACAUCAUCGUGCGCCGUAAUACUGAAUGUGGCCGAGGGAACGUUUGUCAUUGAUCUGGGCAGUGAUGUCGAAGUUGGAGAUGUUUCCAUUAGAUUUUAUGAUGUGAAGAAACUCGAUUCUCCUGUUAUCAACGUGACAGUGUGGCGUGAUGGCUACCCUGCGUCAUCCUGUACACUGUAUACCUUCAUCUACUACCGUGGGGAGACCGCCAACGUCGUGUGCGACUACUUCCCCGUAGGCAGAUACGUCAGCGUUCACAUCUACUACGAGGUGCUCGUCCUACUAGAAGUCUGUGAGAUAAUGGUUCAUGGGAGGCGGUACACCGAUGCCUUGGAGUGUUAUCGCUAUCGAAAACAAACCGACUAUAAGGGACAUUUGAACACGACAGUAGCAGGAAUCCCUUGUCAAAGAUGGGAUUCCCAGAGCCCCCAUGCGCACUCCCACACGGACAUAUCAAAGUUCCCGGAUGAUAACCUUGAGGACGCCGCCAACUACUGCAGGAACCCUGACGGAAAAUACGGGCUCUGGUGCUACACCAACGACCCGGAUGUUGAAUGGCAGUAUUGCCCUGUCAGAAACUGUGAUUAUAUGUGCUUGCGAGACGAUAAAGGGUCAACAUACAAAGGGUUGAUACUAAAAACAGCCACUGGAGCCAGCUGUGUUAGAUGGAGUGGGGCAACAAUCCCCUUCAACAAGACGAGUCAUUUCUCGAACUGGUGGCAAUCUCUGAUAUACUGUCGCAAUCCAAUACUCUCACAGAGUCGUCCUUGGUGCUACACGUCCAAUGACGCUAGCCAGUAUGGUCUUUGUGACAUACCAACAUCGUGCCCUACGACUUCAGAGAUGACACGAGGUCACUGGGUUUUGGAUGCGGACCAAACAUUGAAUGACCUCCUACCGUCCACCGAAUGUCUGGUUUGGAACCGACUUUACACACCAGACGGAAACUUUAGCGGUACCUGGAAUGACGCCUUUACACCUUUUACCUACCGAAACACAUUCACGGCAGCAACUAUAUGUCGUGCAGGGAGGGUGUUCAAUACAACCAUGCAGUGCUUCAAUAUCACCGAAUCUGGAACGGUCUGGAAGGCUGGCGUUCUAGAAUGUGUGCACUGCGGAUCUCCCUACAGUGUGGAUAACGCUACCUUCUCCAUCUCCUCCAGUCUGCUAAACGGAACAGCCAAAUACACAUGCCAAAAAGGAUAUGGGCAUGCUUCCGGUUCAAAUAACGUCAAGUGUCUCAAAACUGGCCAAUGGGAGAUCCCUGACAUGAUCUGUGAAGUCGACUGUGGCACUCCUCCUUCCAUGGACCACGCAGACGUCGACGUCAACUCGACGCUGGUUGGAAAUACCGCUAAUUACACUUGUCACGACGGCUAUGCACACUUCUCAGCGUCUAACCAGGUCACGUGUCUUGACUCAGGCAAAUGGGAUGUUGAUGAUAUGACAUGUGAAGUUAACUGUGGAGACCCACCUUCAAUAAACAGGACCGAGGUCUCGGCUACCGACGGGUUCGUCAACGAGACUGUUGAGUACACGUGUAAACCAGGGUAUGCGAACGUGUCAGGAUCAGCCUUCAUCACCUGCCUCGAUACGGGGACAUGGGAAGAAGCGGGGAUACAUUGUGAAGUCGACUGUAGCAGUCCACCAGUUGUUGCCAACGCUGUUGCCAUCACUGACAAUACAACACUGAACAGCACCGCGGUGUACAGGUGUAGCCCUGGCUUUACACGUGUCAGUGGAUCUACCAACAUCACAUGUCUGGCUACAGGUGUCUGGGAGACUCCCUUCACAGAGUGUGUAGUUGACUGUGGACUCCCUCCGCAAGUAACCAACACAAAUAGGACUUACACCAGCACGCUGAUCAAUAGCACCACGGAGUACACAUGCGUUGACGGCACUGCGCAUGCCUCAGGCUCAACACAGGUCAUGUGUCAGUCAGACGGAAGUUGGACAACGCCAGAUAUUUCGUGUCUUGUUGACUGUGGACUCCCUCCGCAAGUAACCAACACAAAUAGGACUUACACCAGCACGCUGAUCAAUAGCACCACGGAGUACACAUGCGUUGACGGCACUGCGCACCAUUCAGGCUCAACACAGGUCACGUGUCAGUCAGACGGAAGUUGGACAACGCCAGAUAUUUCGUGUCUUGUCGACUGCAGCAGUCCACCGGUUGUUGCCAACACUGUUGCCAUCACUGACAAUACAACAUUGAAUAGCACCGCGGUCUACAUUUGCACUCCUGGCUUUACACAUGUCAAUGGAUCAUCCAACAUCACAUGUCUGAAAACAGGUGUCUGGGGGACUCCCUGGAUAGAAUGUGUAGUUGAUUGUGGUGUCCCGUCUCACGUAAGCUCCACAAAUAUGACUUACAACAGCACGCUGAUCAAUAGCACCACGGAGUACACAUGCGUUGACGGCACUGCGCAUGCCUCAGGGUCAACAGAGAUCACGUGUCAGUCAGACGGAAGUUGGACAACGCCAGAUAUUUCGUGUCUUGUCGAUUGCGGCAGUCCCCCGUCCGUACUUAACGCCAGUGUAACCAUAUCCGGCACCUGGGUGAACAGUUCAGCAAUGUAUGCUUGUCAAGAUGGAUUUAAAUCAUCAGGUUCUGCCUCAGUUACCUGCGAAAAGAACGGUUCUUGGGAAAUCCCUUCUUUUACGUGUGAAGAGGCUCCGUUACCCUUGACGACGUCAUCAUCUACACCAACAGAAUUACCAGUUGAUGAAUACGGAAGAACGCGAACUGAAAAAUGUAUCUGUCGUUGCAUCAACAAAGUGCCAAGAAAACAAGAAGACAUUUUGGGAGAAAUAUCCAAAAACCUAACUUUAGACACGAAAACUCUGACAUCCUUUAUAAUGUCAAAGGAAAGCCUUCCUGACGAGAGAAAAUCAUCUCAUGGUAUGGCUUAUGUUGCGAUAUCAGUGAUUGGAGUCCUAUUCGGAGUGGUAUUUGUAUCGGAUAUAUACUAUUUAAUACACGGAAUAACACGACAUUUCAGUGCACGGAGAUGAAAGUCAAACUAUGUCGUGGUGUAAUAAUAAGAAGCCCAGUAAUGUGAGGCCUACACUGUAUUUUGAAAUGGGCGAACUGUGUCACGAACAGAUGUGCGAUUAUAAACACAGGUAUUGCAACUCUGAAUCGACGUAGGUUUUGCUUCGCGACAACUGAAAACGCUAAUGAGUAGGUCGCACAAGAUCUGCUUACUGGCACUGGAACCAGUGCAUUUUAGAAAAUGCAUUGAUAUGAUAUUUGCGCUGAAUAUGUGUCCUUUUUUAUAACACAUUUGCUUCAUUUACCAAUGGCGCAUCUAUUCAUUGAGAAAUGCCAAAUAACUGAGAUGGAUUUCGUUUUCUUGUAAUUAUUUAUGCUCUAAACAUACUUUCACAUCUUCAUUACAUGGUUUAUGAAAACAAGAGGGCAUUGACUGAUCACUGUUUCAAACGGUCAAAAUCCCCUUUGUUGAAUAAUGGCUGACAUGAGCUGACACUAUGUAAUCUUUCUGAUCAUAGUUGGUGAUGAGCACAAAUUUUCAUCGCUUGAUAGUUGAGAUACCCCAACUGUACGGACAUAAAUCUUGUUGAUUAUCUAAAUCUUCCUUCUUUGAGCUUCGUUGAACGUACUUGUAAGAGGUGACAUGAUAUGUGGAUUUCUGCGGUUUUCGCACGAACAGUUUGAAGAAAUAUUUCCAAUUGUCCAGCAGAGGGGAAUCAUUUUAGUAAUAAAUACGGAGUAUUCAGCUCUGAUAACAACGCUGUACCUAACAGGUUGACUGCAAAAUCAGAUCAGUCAUGGUCCUCGUAAAAGAUUUUGUGUUUAGAUAUUUAUCUGUUAACCAGUCAGCAUUCAACGACACCUCAGUCUCUGUGGGAUCACUCGAAAAAACUGAAGUCAUCUGGACAUGGAUCAUUCCAACAUUAUGAUGCUGAACUAUGGAAGCAACUGCCGCUCGAACUAAAGUCAGCACCCUCACUAACAUCAUUUAAGACUGGACUUAAGACAAAUUUGUUCACAAAAGUUCUCUUCUUCCACAUACUGUAAACUUAAUUACCGUCAACAAUUCCACCUUCUGUGGGCAUUAUAGAAUUGUAUAUAGCAACUUUCCUCAUGUUGUUGUUUUUAUUGUUUAACGCCGCACUCAGCAAUAUUCCAGCUAUUUGGGAUGCAAGCGUGGUCCGCAUAUUUGCCAUGUUUUUCCUUAAUUUUGUCAAUCAAUUUUGUCAAAAGGGACAGAAAAUUCAAUGGUAUAAAUGAUUUCAUGGGAUUUAUAAAAAAGGACAAGGUCAGGUUUGUUGGCUUGGAUCGGUCUGAGGCUGAAUUCGGGCCUAUUUCAAAGAUUUUUGUAUUUAUCAUGUUCAUUGAUGUCCUUUAUGUUCAGGGUCGUACUUGGUAUGGACCUCUUGUGUCAAAACCCCAAUGGGGACCUGGAAUAGAAUGUAUCGUCAGCACCCCAUUGCUGGUCGUAAGAGGCGACCGAAUUGGGCAAUCCGUCCGUCGUGGGUUGCGCCCCUGUGUCGGCAGAGGACGGGAGUCUGUCGGUUGAGGGCACUGGUUCCAGAAAUAGCGUUCCUUUGCCCAAAACACCGCUUUGAUCCUUACUUCGCCGAGACGGGUGGUAGGAUGGACUCGGUCCUAUCAAUCGGCUGGUCAUGCCAAGCCC
RNA transcript from Haliotis rufescens (red abalone), 6155 nucleotides. RefSeq lists it as uncharacterized. NCBI's taxonomy places the organism in Eukaryota, Metazoa, Mollusca, Gastropoda, Lepetellida, Haliotidae. The transcript is spliced from 22 exons. The record is from RefSeq and is a predicted model, not a curated record.